UUUAACAUAUUCAUCAUUCUUUACUUUAAUGUAUAUUUCUUAAACAAGUCUUAGUAUUUAUAUAAUCAUCAAACUUUAUACAUGCCAUAUAAAUCAAAAAGAAAUUUACAAAAGCUACCGGAGAUAAUCUGGAUAGUGUGAUCCUUUGUGUUGAUCCGAUCCUCCGUAUACUUCCACGUCAAUCUACAAGAGACAUUGAUUACACUCAUGUAAGCUUAUAGAAGCUUAGUAAGUUCGUAGGCAUAAAACAUAAAUCUUACCA
RNAcentral lists this long non-coding RNA (262 nucleotides) under Gossypium barbadense (sea-island cotton). RNAcentral's name for it is "long non-coding RNA (GBAR_LNC001942)". The record is from RNAcentral. Lineage: Eukaryota; Viridiplantae; Streptophyta; Magnoliopsida; Malvales; Malvaceae.